RNAcentral lists this ribosomal RNA (301 nucleotides) under uncultured bacterium. RNAcentral describes it as "partial 16S ribosomal RNA". It matches the Rfam family "Bacterial small subunit ribosomal RNA", at positions 509 to 807 of the family's 1533-position model. The record is from RNAcentral.
CAGUCGCCGCGGUAAUACGUAGGGUGCGAGCGUUAAUCGGAAUUACUGGGCGUAAAGCGUGCGCAGGCGGUUUUGUAAGGCAGGCGUGAAAUCCCCGGGCUCAACCUGGGAAUGGCGCUUGUGACUGCAAAGCUAGAGUGCGGCAGAGGGGGAUGGAAUUCCGCGUGUAGCAGUGAAAUGCGUAGAUAUGCGGAGGAACACCGAUGGCGAAGGCAAUCCCCUGGGCCUGCACUGACGCUCAUGCACGAAAGCGUGGGGAGCAAACAGGAUUAGAUACCCGCGUAGUCCCUGUCUCUUAUAC